AGGUCACCCCUGUGCGACGCAUGACAAGGAAGAAGGAGAAGGAGACUGAUUUCACAUGAGGAUCACAAAAUUGGAGGGUUGAAGUCUCGAUUAUGUCUUCUUUGCUUGAUUCUAAGGCUCUAAUAGGUGGCAUAACGUUUGGAUGGCAACAGGUCAAACGGGUGAUAAAGCAACAACAUUCCUACGGGCAAAGGGAUAUACAUGAGAUAUAAAAAAGGGGCAUCCAUAUUAGAUUGGAGAAAGUCACAAAAUGUGUGACUCGAGAUAAUGAAGUGGUGGCUCGAUAUUGUUUCGUUGGGCAUUAUGAGCAUUGAAUACUCCGUUAUGUUUGGUACAAAAUCAUAUUAUGAGUCCUCACUUAACAAAAGCUAAUAUUUUGAUGUUUUAAAUGUAGGUGAUAAGUCAUGAAAAUCAACGGGGUGACUUGAACCAGAAUCAUGAAAGAAGAAAACAUCUCACAAGUCAUUCACCAAUAAUUCGAUUCGGGUGGUAGGAAGGCGAAAGUGAUCAAGUUUUUGAAGCGGGUCAACGAUGUGAAGAUUUAGUGAUGCCUUGUUCACUAAGUAAUAUGGGUUUUCUUAUUGGGUCAACUUGACUUAGUUAGUUGCAUUUUAGAGUUUAACUUUAAUGUUUAUUUUAGCCAAGUGCUAGUAUGUCAAUGUAGUAGUGGGUUAUAUUUGUUUUAUAAAAACCUUGGUUAAUAAG
Long non-coding RNA from Helianthus annuus (common sunflower), 705 nucleotides. RefSeq lists it as uncharacterized. The transcript has 4 exons. NCBI's taxonomy places the organism in Eukaryota, Viridiplantae, Streptophyta, Magnoliopsida, Asterales, Asteraceae. The record is from RefSeq and is a predicted model, not a curated record.